Molecule: long non-coding RNA, 227 nt
Filed under: Vigna radiata
Lineage: Eukaryota; Viridiplantae; Streptophyta; Magnoliopsida; Fabales; Fabaceae
Description: long non-coding RNA (VRAD_LNC015396)
Source: RNAcentral
AAAAACGGCCAAUAGUUGGGAAACGAAAAACAUAUUUAAUCCUAAGAUAUAUUAUUAAAAGAAAGUUAAUUUCUUAAAAAUUUAUAAAAAAAUGAAAAUUUUAAAUAGACCUAAAGUACUAAAGAAUGACAAAAUGUUACAGUAUUUCUAUUCUUUAACUAACACACAUUAAAUAAUUUAUUUUUAACUUUCAAUUGGAAGACAUAAUAUGACAUUUAAAAUGUAAA